RNAcentral lists this ribosomal RNA (1080 nucleotides) under uncultured bacterium. RNAcentral describes it as "bacterial SSU rRNA". It matches the Rfam family "Bacterial small subunit ribosomal RNA", at positions 418 to 1512 of the family's 1533-position model. The record is from RNAcentral.
UUGGGUUGUAAACUGCUUUAGCCAGGGGCUAAACCAACCGUUGCGUUGGUAGCUGAAGGUACCUGGAGAAUAAGCAUCGGCUAACUCCGUGCCAGCAGCCGCGGUAAUACGGAGGAUGCGAGCGUUAUCCGGAUUCAUUGGGUUUAAAGGGUGCGCAGGCGGGGCAUUAAGUCAGUGGUGAAAUAAGACGGCUCAACUGUCUGGCUGCCAUUGAUACUGAUGUUCUAGAGUGUAAUUGGAGUGGGCGGAAUGUGUCAUGUAGCGGUGAAAUGCUUAGAUAUGACACAGAACACCGAUCGCGAAGGCAGCUCACUAAGUUAAUACUGACGCUCAUGCACGAAAGCGUGGGGAUCAAACAGGAUUAGAUACCCUGGUAGUCCACGCUGUAAACGAUGAUUACUCGAUGUUGGCGAUAUACAGUCAGUGUCUGAACGAAAGUAUUAAGUAAUCCACCUGGGGAGUACGUUCGCAAGGAUGAAACUCAAAGGAAUUGACGGGGGCCCGCACAAGCGGAGGAGCAUGUGGUUUAAUUCGAUGAUACGCGAGGAACCUUACCUAGACUUAAAUGUAGAUUGACCGAACGGGAAACCGUUUUUUCAGCGAUGACAAUUUACAAGGUGCUGCAUGGUUGUCGUCAGCUCGUGCCGUGAGGUGUCAGGUUAAGUCCUAUAACGAGCGCAACCCUUAUCCUUAGUUGCCAGCACGUAAUGGUGGGGACUCUAGGGAAACUGCCUACGCAAGUAGAGAGGAAGGUGGGGAUGACGUCAAAUCAGCACGGCCCUUACGUCUAGGGCUACACACGUGCUACAAUGGUAGGUACAGAGGGCAGCUACACGGUGACGUGAUGCCAAUCUCAAAGGCCUAUCUCAGUUCGGAUCGAAGUCUGCAACCCGACUUCGUGAAGUUGGAUUCGCUAGUAAUCGCACAUCAGCCAUGGUGCGGUGAAUACGUUCCCGGGCCUUGUACACACCGCCCGUCAAGCCAUGGGAGCUUGGGGUACCUGAAGUUCGUAACCGCGAGGGGCGACCUAGGGUAAAACGAGUGACUGGGGCUAAGUCGUAACAAGGUAGCCGUAGAAUC